Vicugna pacos (alpaca) is the source of this 94-nucleotide non-coding RNA. The record is from RefSeq and is a predicted model, not a curated record. NCBI's taxonomy places the organism in Eukaryota, Metazoa, Chordata, Mammalia, Artiodactyla, Camelidae.
CUGUGUUCACUGCUGUAUUAUUUACAACAGUCAAAACAUGGAAACGACCUAAGUGUCCAUACACAGGUGACUGGAGAAAGAUGUGGGGUAUUUU